Molecule: ribosomal RNA, 253 nt
Filed under: uncultured Methylococcus sp.
Lineage: Bacteria; Pseudomonadati; Pseudomonadota; Gammaproteobacteria; Methylococcales; Methylococcaceae
Description: partial 16S ribosomal RNA
Rfam family: Bacterial small subunit ribosomal RNA
Source: RNAcentral
UACAGAGGGUGCGAGCGUUAAUCGGAAUUACUGGGCGUAAAGGGCGCGCAGGCGGUUGGACAAGUGGGGUGUGAAAUCCCCGGGCUUAACCCGGGAACUGCAUUCCAGACUGUUCAGCUGGAGUACUGUAGAGGGUAGUGGAAUUUCCGGUGUAGCGGUGAAAUGCGUAGAGAUCGGAAGGAACACCAGUGGCGAAGGCGGCUACCUGGACAGAUACUGACGCUGAGGCGCGAGAGCGUGGGGAGCAAACAGG